Molecule: ribosomal RNA, 602 nt
Filed under: Actinomycetales bacterium A234
Lineage: Bacteria; Bacillati; Actinomycetota; Actinomycetes; Actinomycetales
Description: bacterial SSU rRNA
Rfam family: Bacterial small subunit ribosomal RNA
Source: RNAcentral
AGGACGAACGCUGGCGGCGUGCUUAACACAUGCAAGUCGAGCGGAAAGGCCCUUCGGGGUACUCGAGCGGCGAACGGGUGAGUAACACGUGAGCAACCUGCCCCCGACUCUGGGAUAAGCCCGGGAAACUGGGUCUAAUACCGGAUACGACACACCACCGCAUGGUGGGGUGUGGAAAGUUUUUCGGUCGGGGAUGGGCUCGCGGCCUAUCAGCUUGUUGGUGGGGUAGUGGCCCACCAAGGCGACGACGGGUAGCCGGCCUGAGAGGGCGACCGGCCACACUGGGACUGAGACACGGCCCAGACUCCUACGGGAGGCAGCAGUGGGGAAUAUUGCACAAUGGGGGAAACCCUGAUGCAGCGACGCCGCGUGCGGGAUGACGGCCUUCGGGUUGUAAACCGCUUUCAGCAGGGACGAAAACAGACGGUACCUGCAGAAGAAGCGCCGGCUAACUACGUGCCAGCAGCCGCGGUAAUACGUAGGGCGCAAGCGUUGUCCGGAAUUAUUGGGCGUAAAGAGCUCGUAGGCGGUCUGUCGCGUCGGAUGUGAAAGCUCGAGGCUUAACCUCGGGUCUGCAUCCGAUACGGGCAGACUAGAGGCAG